ACAUGAACCUACAUCACAUACAUAUCAUUCAUAUCAUAGCAUUAAUGCACAUGUAUAUUAUCAUGGCAUUUCACAUCAUUAUACAAGACAGGACUCCACAUCCUAUCCUAGUGGACAUGAUCUUUCCUAUUGUGCUUGACCUUCUAUAACAUCUAUGAGCCCGACACUCUAGGUCCGACCAUAUGAACCUAGGGCUCUGAUACCAUUCUGUAACGACCCGAAAAUCGGAC
Molecule: long non-coding RNA, 230 nt
Filed under: Manihot esculenta (cassava)
Lineage: Eukaryota; Viridiplantae; Streptophyta; Magnoliopsida; Malpighiales; Euphorbiaceae
Description: long non-coding RNA (MESC_LNC004286)
Source: RNAcentral